CAAAUGCGAUACGCAAUGCGAAUUGCAGAAUUCCGCGAGUCAUCAGAUCUUUGAACGCAAGUGGCGCUGGGUUAACCAAUACCCCAGCAUGUUUGUUUCAGUGUGUUAGGAAUCAUAAAUCAUAAUGCGGUUGAAAUUAUUUAAUUAAAGUUUCUCCCGUUAAACAUGAAAGUGCUGAAUCGUUCAGUGCCGAUCGAAGUAGUCACUUCUUUAGCAAGUGAUCUCGAUUGUUGCAUAACUGAGGAUUCACUUAAAAAGCAUUUAAAUAAUAAAUUAUUAUUCUCCAUUCAACACCUGAAAUCAAGCAAGAUCACCCGCUGAACUUAA
This 327-nucleotide unclassified non-coding RNA is filed under the name uncultured fungus. RNAcentral describes it as "sequence contains ITS1". The stretch from base 1 to 106 matches the Rfam family "5.8S ribosomal RNA", at positions 50 to 154 of the family's 154-position model. The record is from RNAcentral. Lineage: Eukaryota; Fungi.